This 301-nucleotide ribosomal RNA is filed under the name uncultured bacterium. RNAcentral describes it as "partial 16S ribosomal RNA". It matches the Rfam family "Bacterial small subunit ribosomal RNA", at positions 509 to 807 of the family's 1533-position model. The record is from RNAcentral.
CAGUAGCCGCGGUAAAACGAAGGGGGCUAGCGUUGUUCGGAUUUACUGGGCGUAAAGCGCACGUAGGCGGACUUUUAAGUCAGGGGUGAAAUCCCGGGGCUCAACCCCGGAACUGCCUUUGAUACUGGAAGUCUUGAGUAUGGUAGAGGUGAGUGGAAUUCCGAGUGUAGAGGUGAAAUUCGUAGAUAUUCGGAGGAACACCAGUGGCGAAGGCGGCUCACUGGACCAUUACUGACGCUGAGGUGCGAAAGCGUGGGGAGCAAACAGGAUUAGAUACCCGUGUAGUCCCUGUCUCUUAUAC